Pelobates cultripes (western spadefoot toad) is the source of this 434-nucleotide non-coding RNA. NCBI's taxonomy places the organism in Eukaryota, Metazoa, Chordata, Amphibia, Anura, Pelobatidae. The record is from the annotation of a GenBank genome assembly.
AAUUUAAAUAAUCUGUUUCUUUUCUCAUGUGGUUACAUAACCCAGCUACUGCUUUGGGUGAUUUUUCAGAAUGUGUAACUAUUUCCCAGCUUUGUUUGUGUUUCAAAAUAAGUGAGUCUAGGUCUAGGAGAUUGUGCAGAAUUGCCCCUAUACUUGCAUCAUGGUAGUCGAAUGAAGCUUGGCAUUAUGUACAAACUUACAUUGCUAAUGCAUAUGUGUGUUUUGUCCUUUUUUUUUUUUUUUUCUUGAAUCCUCAUUGUUUCCAUAUUUGGUUUAGUGGGUUUGUAUGCAGUGGUGUAGGGGAUAAGUCCUGGGGAAAAAAGUGUGGGAACUCACUUAAAAUCCACGCUCACCCCAAAAAACAUUAUACGCUUGUAUGCAUAUAUAUUUCUCAGAAAAUAAAAAUAAAAUGUGAGUGCAGGACUGUAUCAGGG